AACGAACGCUGGCGGCAUGCCUAAUACAUGCAAGUCGAACGAGAUCUUCGGAUCUAGUGGCGCACGGGUGCGUAACGCGUGGGAAUCUGCCCUUGGGUUCGGAAUAACUUCUGGAAACGGAAGCUAAUACCGGAUGAUGACGUAAGUCCAAAGAUUUAUCGCCCAAGGAUGAGCCCGCGUAGGAUCAGCUAGUUGGUGGGGUAAAGGCCCACCAAGGCGACGAUCCUUAGCUGGUCUGAGAGGAUGAUCAGCCACACUGGGACUGAGACACGGCCCAGACUCCUACGGGAGGCAGCAGUAGGGAAUAUUGGACAAUGGGCGAAAGCCUGAUCCAGCAAUGCCGCGUGAGUGAUGAAGGCCUUAGGGUUGUAAAGCUCUUUUACCCGGGAUGAUAAUGACAGUACCGGGAGAAUAAGCUCCGGCUAACUCCGUG
RNAcentral lists this ribosomal RNA (433 nucleotides) under uncultured bacterium. RNAcentral describes it as "partial 16S ribosomal RNA". It matches the Rfam family "Bacterial small subunit ribosomal RNA", at positions 29 to 507 of the family's 1533-position model. The record is from RNAcentral.